CACUACAAACUUUAAAUUGAAAAUUUAAAUCUUAAAUUAAAAAUCUUGCUUCGAAUUUAUAAUUUAAUUCAAAAUAUAAUUUACAUUUAUAAUAUAAAAUUUAAAUUUAAAUUGUAUAAUUAGUGGGUGCUAACACAUCUCAUCCGUGGCGUUGACAUGACGUCUCCGUGACGCUGACAUGUUGCUGACGUGACAUUUUUCGUCAACUUUAAUACUUUUCUAACAGCUGAAACUUAAUUGUAAUGAAAUCAAGAGAUCAGAAAUUUCAUUGUAAAAAAAAAG
Molecule: long non-coding RNA, 282 nt
Filed under: Ananas comosus (pineapple)
Lineage: Eukaryota; Viridiplantae; Streptophyta; Magnoliopsida; Poales; Bromeliaceae
Description: long non-coding RNA (ACOM_LNC004132)
Source: RNAcentral